GUUUUAUGAAUUGCGAUUUUAACAGAAUUAUUCAAGUUUUGUUUAAAUGAUUAUUAGAUAUUGCAAUAAAAUAUCUCGAGUAUACUUAGCUAGAGCUGGAUGACUCGUCAGUCUUUAUCUCACUGAGGUACGUUAUAAUGAUCAACUUGAAAGUGAAGCGUAUCAAAUUAAAAACAAAAAAAAAGCCAUUAACGGAGGCCCUUCAAACUUCAAGCAACUAAUUUUGUUAAGUUGUCAAGUUUAUGAAAACUCUAAGGAUAUAUUGCUUAUAAAAAAUAGGAAGGAGAAAACCAGGCAGAACCUGUUUAUUUACAAAACGAUAUAGUAAGAAUGAACUAAAGCUCAUUAAAAGAAACCAAAUAUCCUAAAAAUUAAACGCAUCCGCUCUUUUCGCACUUUAAUCUAUUCGUUUUAAGCUAAACAACUCGAACAAUUAUCGAGCUUUCAUGCACUUAUGCCUAAUUGAAGUUUCAAUGAUUUGACGUAUUUUUCGUUGCUUUCUAACAGCGAAAAAAUUCACUGGCUCAAUCACAAUUUUCCACUGUAUCUCCUUAAUUUAUCUUUUAUACAGUCAAUAUGGCUUGGUGCCUCAUUAUUUUAAUUUUCUGUGGAAACUAGCGAUUUAUAUCUUCAAAUGUUUGAAAAGAUAGGAAAUCAAUUAUAGUAACAAAACAAUUCUCUCUCUCUAGAUUUAUAUAUGGACAAAUAAUUGACUCAGUGAAUGGAUAAAAGGUUUUACAAUUAUCUAGCGGUUUUGUGAUCUUUUUAUUUAGGUUUAAGUUAAGCGAAAGCUUACGUUAAGAAUUAAGCAGAAGUUGUAAUAAUACUGCUUUACACAAAUUUAGUUUUAGUAUUUGAAUUCUAGCGUAAAAAUAACACA
This is a non-coding RNA of Schizosaccharomyces pombe (fission yeast), 880 nucleotides long. Lineage: Eukaryota; Fungi; Ascomycota; Schizosaccharomycetes; Schizosaccharomycetales; Schizosaccharomycetaceae. The record is from the annotation of a GenBank genome assembly.